GACGAACGCUGGCGGCGUGCUUAACACAUGCAAGUCGAACGCUGAAGCCUGGCUUUUGUUGGGUGGAUGAGUGGCGAACGGGUGAGUAACACGUGAGUAACCUGCCCUCUUCUUUGGGAUAACGCCCGGAAACGGGUGCUAAUACUGGAUAUUCACUUGCCUUCGCAUGGGGGUGGGUGGAAAGGUUUUUUUCUGGUGGGGGAUGGGCUCGCGGCCUAUCAGCUUGUUGGUGGGGUGAUGGCUUACCAAGGCUUUGACGGGUAGCCGGCCUGAGAGGGUGACCGGUCACAUUGGGACUGAGAUACGGCCCAGACUCCUACGGGAGGCAGCAGUGGGGAAUAUUGCACAAUGGGCGCAAGCCUGAUGCAGCGACGCCGCGUGAGGGAUGGAGGCCUUCGGGUUGUGAACCUCUUUCGCUCAUGGUCAAGCCGCAACUCAUGGUUGUGGUGAGGGUAGUGGGUAAAGAAGCGCCGGCUAACUACGUGCCAGCAGCCGCGGUAAUACGUAGGGCGCGAGCGUUGUCCGGAAUUAUUGGGCGUAAAGGGCUUGUAGGCGGUUGGUCGCGUCUGCCGUGAAAUCCUCUGGCUUAACUGGGGGCGUGCGGUGGGUACGGGCUGGCUUGAGUGCGGUAGGGGAGACUGGAACUCCUGGUGUAGCGGUGGAAUGCGCAGAUAUCAGGAAGAACACCGGUGGCGAAGGCGGGUCUCUGGGCCGUUACUGACGCUGAGGAGCGAAAGCGUGGGGAGCGAACAGG
Molecule: ribosomal RNA, 754 nt
Filed under: uncultured Actinomyces sp.
Lineage: Bacteria; Bacillati; Actinomycetota; Actinomycetes; Actinomycetales; Actinomycetaceae
Description: bacterial SSU rRNA
Rfam family: Bacterial small subunit ribosomal RNA
Source: RNAcentral